This 1583-nucleotide long non-coding RNA is filed under the name Malus domestica (apple). RNAcentral's name for it is "long non-coding RNA (MDOM_LNC016681)". The record is from RNAcentral. Lineage: Eukaryota; Viridiplantae; Streptophyta; Magnoliopsida; Rosales; Rosaceae.
AAAAGUUCCUGCAAAGAAAAGAAAUAAUUCAGUUAAGUACGCAAGAAAAUUAAUUAAAAAAAAAAUUGCAAACGAAAAAUUGAAAAUUACGAUAAAAGAUAAUGAAUAAAACUAAUAAGUAAUCAUUGGUCGUGCUUGUUGACUUUCCACAGCUUUCCUCUUGAACAGGGUGACACUUAGCUUUUCACUUGCAAGUGAUGAUUUUAUGCUAUUGUACUGCGAGGCUUUGCUCUUUGGCGAAGGUGCCCUCCAAAUGUUGUUGAAGCUUCUCGAGUUCUUCAACUCGGACUCCUUGUGCUGGUUUGAUUGUACGAGCUACAUUCUUCUCUGCUUGUUUCCUCUGCAUGGCGGGCAGGCACAAGGUAGCUGUUUUGGUCUGAUUCUUUCUUCAAUCUUUCCAAGUGCCCACCUCUUGCUUUCUUUCUCCUUGUCCCUAGCUGAGGAUGAAUCAGCACGUUGUCUCCACAUGCUUCGAGGUCUCAUUUUCACCUCCCUUACUUGUCCCCCAAGUAGAUGUGGUAGACAAAACGGAAGCAUAAGAUGAAGAAGAUGAGUACUCGAGAGCAAGGCUAGGUAAGCAAUCAGGAAGGGGUUCCAGGCAGUUGGCUCCAGAUCGGAAGAUUGAUACCAAAUGCUGGCUGAUUGCUCUCUUUCUCCUUGUCGGAAAACAAAGACAAGGAGAAGGACAUGGAGAAAGCAUGAUAUGAGAUACUAUUACUUUCAACCUUUAUGAUAUGAAAUACUUUUGCUUUGAAUGGGUUGUUCGCAAGAGUAUCCCAAGGAAUGAGGAACACUGAGUAACUUAGGAGGAUUCUUUUGGAAUGCAUUCUCGGAGAUGAAGAAGUUUUGAGUGAGGCUACUUUGCAAUGAAGUUUAACAUUUAAAGAAUUUUCUUAAUGGCUGGUAGAGGUACUGUUCAAUUAACCCAGGGUUACCGACACGAGUAGAAGAACAGUGCAACGUGCUUUCCCACUUCACCAUAAAUUUUUUUUUUACCAGCUAUUCGUGAUUUCCGCAAAGCAGAUUCUUCAUUGAUAUCUGGAAUCGGCGCAUCGAGCUCUGAGCAUCGUCGAUUGUAGAGGUAGCAUGUGACACGUGCAGAUAAAUCAGGAAAAGAAGAUUUGCCCGUGGGUUGAAGCCCAGCUUUUGAGAAAGCUAGUGUGUCUUUGACUGUUGAAUUUCCCUCUUUGAUUUCUGAAUUGGUGCUUCGACAAACUGCCCGUGAUUUCUGCAAAGCUACCGGUUGCAUGUGACGAGUGACAACACGUCUGGACAAUUGAUCUUGCGAAAUCCGGGGUUCGGCUCGUGGUUUCUGAGCAAGCCCAACUUUUAAGAAAUGAAACGCCUCUUUUGAGAAAAGAAUCCGGCUUUUGAGAAAGGAAACUCCUCUUUUGAGAAAAGAAUCAGGCGUUUGAGAAAUGAGCCCCGACUCUUCGAUUUGCGAGAGGACGCUUCAUCGAUUUCUGAGGAGCGCCUCUUUGAUUUCUUCAUUUUAUAGAGGCGUUAAUUUUGUUCCACAACACACUUGAGCUCCCUCUUGUAAACACUCCCUUCUUGCACUUGUUUAAUCUUGAUCAUUCCGA